GCAAGUCGAGCGGACCGAAGGGAGCUUGCUCCUUUAGGUUAGCGGCGGACGGGUGAGUAACACGUGGGCAACCUGCCCUGCAGACUGGGAUAACUUCGGGAAACCGGAGCUAAUACCGGAUAACACCGAAAACCGCAUGGUUUUCGGUUGAAAGGCGGCUUUAGCUGUCACUGCAGGAUGGGCCCGCGGCGCAUUAGCUAGUUGGUGAGGUAAUGGCUCACCAAGGCGACGAUCCGUAACUGGUCUGAGAGGAUGAUCAGUCACACUGGAACUGAGACACGGUCCAGACUCCUACGGGAGGCAGCAGUGGGGAAUAUUGGACAAUGGGCGAAAGCCUGAUCCAGCCAUGCCGCGUGUGCGAAGAAGGUCUUCGGAUUGUAAAGCACUUUAAGUUGGGAGGAAGGGCAGUAAAUUAAUACUUUGCUGUUUUGACGUUACCGACAGAAUAAGCACCGGCUAACUCUGUGCCAGCAGCCGCGGUAAU
RNAcentral lists this ribosomal RNA (484 nucleotides) under uncultured bacterium. RNAcentral describes it as "bacterial SSU rRNA". It matches the Rfam family "Bacterial small subunit ribosomal RNA", at positions 57 to 524 of the family's 1533-position model. The record is from RNAcentral.